Molecule: ribosomal RNA, 494 nt
Filed under: uncultured bacterium
Lineage: Bacteria
Description: bacterial SSU rRNA
Rfam family: Bacterial small subunit ribosomal RNA
Source: RNAcentral
AUGACGCUGGCGGCGUGCCUAACACAGCAAGUCGAACGGGACUGAUUGAAAGUAUCUUUUCGGAGUGAUUUCUAUUUAGUUUAGUGGCGGACGGGUGAGUAACGCGUGGACUAACUCGCCUUUCACAGGGGGAUAGCAGCUGGAAACGGCUGGUAAUACCGCAUACGCUCAUGUCACCGCAUGGUGAGAUGAGGAAAGAUUUAUCGGUGAAAGAUGGAUCCGCGUCUGAUUAGCCAGUUGGCGGGGUAACGGCCCACCAAAGCAACGAUCAGUAGCCGGCCUGAGAGGGCGGACGGCCACAUUGGGACUGAGACACGGCCCAGACUCCUACGGGAGGCAGCAGUGGGGGAUAUUGCACAAUGGGCGCAAGCCUGAUGCAGCGACGCCGCGUGAGUGAAGAAGUAUUUCGGUAUGUAAAGCUCUAUCAGCAGGGGAAGAAAGGCCCUUUUAGGGAGAUGACGGUACCUGACUAAGAAGCCCCGGCUAACUACGUG